Molecule: non-coding RNA, 22 nt
Filed under: Arabidopsis thaliana (thale cress)
Lineage: Eukaryota; Viridiplantae; Streptophyta; Magnoliopsida; Brassicales; Brassicaceae
Source: RNAcentral
ACCCUCUGGUCGCUCACGACCA